This 134-nucleotide small nucleolar RNA is filed under the name Sorex araneus (European shrew). RNAcentral's name for it is "Small nucleolar RNA SNORA51 (ENSSARG00000019215.1)". It matches the Rfam family "Small nucleolar RNA SNORA51". From Rfam's summary of the family: ACA51 is a member of the H/ACA class of snoRNA that guide the sites of modification of uridines to pseudouridines. Lineage: Eukaryota; Metazoa; Chordata; Mammalia; Eulipotyphla; Soricidae. The record is from RNAcentral.
UGUUUUUAAAUUAAAGUCUACUGUGUUCUUUACACUGACUAUAUAGAAAGAGGAGGCAUAGUCUAUAAUCCCACCCCAUAUACAUCCCAACCUAAGCCCUCUGACUGGUCUAUACUGUGAAUGGGGGAACAUGG